Molecule: ribosomal RNA, 699 nt
Filed under: uncultured bacterium
Lineage: Bacteria
Description: bacterial SSU rRNA
Rfam family: Bacterial small subunit ribosomal RNA
Source: RNAcentral
AGGAGUUUGACCUGGCUCAGGAUGAACGCUAGCGGCAGGCUGAACACAUGCAAGUCGAGGGGUAACAUUGUAGCUUGCUACAGAUGACGACCGGCGCACGGGUGCGUAACGCGUAUACAAUCUACCUUAUACUGAAGGAUAGCCCAGAGAAAUUUGGAUUAACACUUCAUGGUAUUACACAAUCGCAUGGUUAUGUAAUUAAAGGUUACGGUAUAAGAUGAGUAUGCGUCCUAUUAGCUAGAUGGUAAGGUAACGGCUUACCAUGGCAACGAUAGGUAGGGGCCCUGAGAGGGGGAUCCCCCACACUGGUACUGAGACACGGACCAGACUCCUACGGGAGGCAGCAGUGAGGAAUAUUGGGCAAUGGAGGCAACUCUGACCCAGCCAUGCCGCGUGCAGGAAGACUGCCCUAUGGGUUGUAAACUGCUUUUAUACAGGAAGAAACACUCCCUCGAGUAGGGAGCUUGACGGUACUGUAAGAAUAAGGAUCGGCUAACUCCGUGCCAGCAGCCGCGGUAAUACGGAGGAUCCAAGCGUUAUCCGGAAUCAUUGGGUUUAAAGGGUCCGUAGGUGGAUAAUUAAGUCAGAGGUGAAAUCCUGCAGCUCAACUGUAGAAUUGCCUUUGAAACUGGUUAUCUUGAGUCAUUAUGAAGUGGUUAGAAUGUGUAGUGUAGCGGUGAAAUGCAUAGAUAUUACACA